This is a long non-coding RNA of Aricia agestis (brown argus), 139 nucleotides long. RefSeq lists it as uncharacterized. NCBI's taxonomy places the organism in Eukaryota, Metazoa, Arthropoda, Insecta, Lepidoptera, Lycaenidae. The transcript is spliced from 3 exons. The record is from RefSeq and is a predicted model, not a curated record.
GAUUGUGGUACAACACAUCGAAAAAACCCGGACAAAUAUUCAUUUCACAGGUGAAUCAUUCUACAUCGACAGGACCUAAUUUUAAGUUUAUGUUUGCCAAUUCCCUACGAGUUAUUGAUAUUGUUACGGCCGUGUUCAG